CACCGGCGGCUCGAGUGGUGGCCACUUUUAUUGGGUCUAAAGCGUCCGUAGCCGGCUUGGCAAGUCCCCUGGGAAAUCUGGCGGCUUAACCGUCAGGCGUCCAGAGGAUACUGCCAGGCUUGGGACCGGGAGAGGUGAGAGGUACCUCAGGGGUAGGGGUGAAAUCUUGUGAUCCCUGAGGGACCACUAGUGGCGAAGGCGUCUCACUAGAACGGGUCCGACGGUCAGGGACGAAAGCUGGGGGCACGAACCGG
Molecule: ribosomal RNA, 254 nt
Filed under: uncultured microorganism
Description: partial 16S ribosomal RNA
Rfam family: Archaeal small subunit ribosomal RNA
Source: RNAcentral